AUGGGUCUCAGGUUCUCUUUCCCAGCAGGGGGGGUUGACCUCAGGGGUUUUCUCUGCAGGCUUUGUUCACAUCAAAGCUUUAGUCAAAUCAUCGAUUUCUUGUCUUCUCAACUACUUUUGUGCGUCUCUUUAUGUCUUCUUUUACCUGACAACCAGGAUGAGCCCUCAGUGGGGAUUCAUGACAUUCAGGACUGGAGGAGGCUGAACCCUGAGCCCUCCUCCCCUGAGUCGAUCAUCAAAGAGGACGCUGCCCUGCAAGAUGGACCCGCCUUCACUCAGCGCGUGUCAGCGUGUGUUGGUCAGCAGCAGGAAAGCAAAGCCACCGACCACGUUCAUCAAAUGCUUAUCAGAGCGAUGAGAACAGAAGUCUUUACAGGACGGAGCCUGCCUGCAGCUCAGGUGAUGUUCCAAUGUUUGAGUUUGUGUCUCAGCUGCAGCGUUGUUGACUGGUUUUGGAUGUACGUGUGGCCCAGGGCUCCUAUAAGCAGGAGUGGGCGUGGUUUGAGAAAAUAAUAAAGACUAGAGCAGGAAUCCUCUGGUCCAACAAGUGAUUACUUUUUAGGGGUUUUACAGAUUAAAAUGUUUUUUAAAGUAAUUACAAAAUUAUUGUUGGAUCUUGCUAUGCAGUCUUAUAUUUAAUCAUUCUUCUAACAGCUGCCAAACCAUGAAACACUUUUAGGAUAAACAUUCAGUGUUUUUCAGGCUCCUCCCACUGGCAUCCUAACUCCAGAACUCAUAUGACCUUUAACCACUGUCAGGACAUCCUGGAUCUCUUUACCCUCUCAUUUCUUUCUUUCCCUCUCUCUGUACAGCUUCAGAACCAGUACCAGUGUCUCUGUGAGGUUCUGCUCAGCAUGGCCACGCAGAGGAGUCCAACUCGAGCCUUCAGGGCAGGAACUUUACCAGGACUCUAGUGUCCAGCUUCCACCGAAAAGAGAAGAUCUGACUACCCAAGUCUGGCGUCCCACUGGUCCAAGUCUGUCUGGACUUUCAUGGAACUCUUGUGGAUUUUUUGAGGCCUUUUUUGCCAGAUUCUUGGUUAAAAGAAAUACUCUAAUUACUUUUUUACACUGAGACAGUUUUGGAUCUUUCCCUUUUUUUUCCAUUUUUUGUCUCGGUCUUAUCGAAGGACUCUCAGCUGCAGGUUUGGGUUUCAGGAGAGCACAGGGAGUGGGGGGGUGUAACACUUUGUGUCUUUUCUUGUUGCACUAUGACCUGUGAGUGUUACUGCCGUCAUUAAAGCUGACCCAUGGCUUCUCCGCACUCAGAUGAUUUUGUAUUUAUUUUUUGUCAAACGCUGCACUCUCAGCUGCUUCUGAAACACCGACCAUGCCCCCCCCCCCACCCAGACGAUACAGAGGACAAACUCUGCGGCUCUGCUGGCUCCAAUCAUUUCACUCACUGACCCACAGAACCAGGAUCUGGGGGUGCUGCCGCAGACACCUCUGCUGACCCUUAGUGGUGUUUCAACUACUACUGUGAACUUUUAUGAUUCUUUCUUUGUAUAAUUCAAUUAUGCUUUUAAUAUAUGGGAAUUCUGUAUGUAUACCUAUAUGAAUAUACACUUACC
This 1570-nucleotide long non-coding RNA is filed under the name Oryzias javanicus (javanese ricefish). RNAcentral's name for it is "lncRNA (ENSOJAG00000019425.1)". Lineage: Eukaryota; Metazoa; Chordata; Actinopteri; Beloniformes; Adrianichthyidae. The record is from RNAcentral.